Molecule: non-coding RNA, 82 nt
Organism: Podarcis lilfordi (Lilford's wall lizard)
Lineage: Eukaryota; Metazoa; Chordata; Lepidosauria; Squamata; Lacertidae
Source: the annotation of a GenBank genome assembly
GCCUUUUUGCAAAGGGUAGCUCAAUGGGUAGAGCAUGAGCCUCUUAAUGUCAGGGUCAUGGUUUGGAGUCCCAGGGUGGGCA